Molecule: ribosomal RNA, 377 nt
Filed under: uncultured bacterium
Lineage: Bacteria
Description: bacterial SSU rRNA
Rfam family: Bacterial small subunit ribosomal RNA
Source: RNAcentral
UAAUACGUAGGGUGCGAGCGUUGUCCGGAAUUACUGGGCGUAAAGAGUUCGUAGGCGGUUUGUCGCGUCGUUUGUGAAAACCCGGGGCUCAACUUCGGGCUUGCAGGCGAUACGGGCAGACUUGAGUGUUUCAGGGGAGACUGGAAUUCCUGGUGUAGCGGUGAAAUGCGCAGAUAUCAGGAGGAACACCGGUGGCGAAGGCGGGUCUCUGGGAAACAACUGACGCUGAGGAACGAAAGCGUGGGUAGCAAACAGGAUUAGAUACCCUGGUAGUCCACGCCGUAAACGGUGGGCGCUAGGUGUGGGUUCCUUCCACGGGAUCUGUGCCGUAGCUAACGCAUUAAGCGCCCCGCCUGGGGAGUACGGCCGCAAGGCUA